Molecule: long non-coding RNA, 260 nt
Organism: Papaver somniferum (opium poppy)
Lineage: Eukaryota; Viridiplantae; Streptophyta; Magnoliopsida; Ranunculales; Papaveraceae
Exons: 3
Source: RefSeq, a predicted model, not a curated record
CGGAUCACUACAAGAAAACCUAGCUUAAGCGACCAAAAUCCUAGCAAGAACCCAGUUGGCUUGCAACUGCAAGUCAGUUGGCUUGCUAUAAAUUUAUGGCCAUUAAAUUUAAGCCACUACCGGAUAUCUUUGCUCCACCACCUGAUAUGUUUGCUCGCUCGAUCUCUUUUGCAAGCCGGGCAUGGGUCGAGGAGGAGGCUCUGGUUUAUCAAAUCGUGGAGGUAGUACAAGGAACAACCGUGGUGGUGGUGGUGCUCAAC